UACGGAAGGCAGCAGCGGGGAAUAUUGCACAAUGGGCGAAAGCCUGAUGCAGCUAUGCCGCGUGUAUGAAGAAGGCCUUAGGGUUGUAAAGUACUUUCAUCGGGGAGGAAAAACAAAACUAAUAAUUUUAUUUCUUGACGUUACCCGAAAAAGAAGCACCGGCUAACUCCGUGCCAGCAGCCGCGGUAAUACGGAGGGUGCUAGCGUUAAUCAGAAUUACUGGGCGUAAAGAGCACGUAGGUGGUUUUUUUAAGUCAGAUGUGAAAUCCCUGGGCUUAACCUAGGAACUGCAUUUUGAAACUGAAAUACUAGAGUAUCGUAGAGGGAGGUAGAAUUCUAGGUGUAGCGGUGAAAUGCGUAGAUAUCUGGAGGAAUACCUGUGGCGAAAGCGGCCUCCUAAACGAAUACUGACACUGAGGUGCGAAAGCGUGGGGAGCAAACAGGGAUUAGAUACC
This 455-nucleotide ribosomal RNA is filed under the name uncultured bacterium. RNAcentral describes it as "bacterial SSU rRNA". It matches the Rfam family "Bacterial small subunit ribosomal RNA", at positions 340 to 786 of the family's 1533-position model. The record is from RNAcentral.